CAGUCGCCGCGGGAAUACGGAGGGGGCUAGCGUUGUUCGGAAUUACUGGGCGUAAAGCGCGCGUAGGUGGUUUGUUAAGUUGGAUGUGAAAUCCCCGGGCUCAACCUGGGAACUGCAUCCAAAACUGGCAGGCUAGAGUAGGGCAGAGGGUGGUGGAAUUUCCUGUGUAGCGGUGAAAUGCGUAGAUAUAGGAAGGAACACCAGUGGCGAAGGCGACCACCUGGGCUCAUACUGACACUGAGGUGCGAAAGCGUGGGGAGCAAACAGGAUUAGAUACCCCUGUAGUCCCUGUCUCUUAUAC
This 301-nucleotide ribosomal RNA is filed under the name uncultured bacterium. RNAcentral describes it as "partial 16S ribosomal RNA". It matches the Rfam family "Bacterial small subunit ribosomal RNA", at positions 509 to 807 of the family's 1533-position model. The record is from RNAcentral.